RNAcentral lists this ribosomal RNA (253 nucleotides) under uncultured bacterium. Its description in RNAcentral is "partial 16S ribosomal RNA". It matches the Rfam family "Bacterial small subunit ribosomal RNA", at positions 524 to 776 of the family's 1533-position model. The record is from RNAcentral.
GACGGAGGGUGCUAGCGUUGUUCGGAAUCACUGGGCGUAAAGCGCGUGUAGGCGGCUCGAUAAGUCGAAUGGGAAAGCCCGAGGCUCAACCUCGGAAGUGCAUUCGAAAAUGUCGGGCUUGAGUACGGGAGAGCGAAGUGGAAUUCCCGGUGGAGAGGUGAAAUUCGUAGAUAUCAGGAGGAACACCGGUGGCGAAGGCGGCUUCCUGGUCCGAUACUGACGCUGAGUCGCGAAAGCGUGGGGAGCAAACAGG